RNAcentral lists this ribosomal RNA (660 nucleotides) under Endogone corticioides. RNAcentral's name for it is "eukaryotic LSU rRNA". It matches the Rfam family "Eukaryotic large subunit ribosomal RNA", at positions 38 to 626 of the family's 3401-position model. Lineage: Eukaryota; Fungi; Mucoromycota; Endogonomycetes; Endogonales; Endogonaceae. The record is from RNAcentral.
GCAUAUCAAUAAGCGGAGGAAAAGAAACUAACAAGGAUUCCCCUAGUAACGGCGAGUGAAGCGGGAAAAGCUCAAAUUUUAAAUCUGGUAGGACUCCCUAUCCGAGUUGUAGUUUCAAGAGACGUUUUCGGUUCGCGCCUGGGUAUAAGUCCUUUGGAACAGGGCAUCAUAGAGGGUGAGAAUCCCGUUUAUGACCCGGAGCGGCGGACUAUGUGAUACGUUUUCAAAGAGUCAGGUUGUUUGGGAAUGCAGCCUAAAAUGGGUGGUAAAUUUCAUCUAAAGCUAAAUAUUGGCGAGAGACCGAUAGCGAACAAGUACCGUGAGGGAAAGAUGAAAAGAACUUUGAAAAGAGAGUUAAACAGUACGUGAAAUUGUUGAAAGGGAAACGUUUGAAAUCAGUCAUGUAGGCGAGUAAUCAGCUUGGCUUUUUGCCUUGUGCACUUUCUCGUUCGCAGGUCAGCGUCAGUUUUGAUACAGUCGGAUAAAAGCCAAGGGAAUGUGGCCUCUCUCGGGGGGUGUUAUAGCCCUGGUUAAUACGAUGGUUAAGACUGAGGUCUGCAGCCAAUACUCUUUAUUGGGUUGGGUGUUAUUUUAGCUCGUAGGUAACCGAGUCUAGACAGCUUGCUGACUAGGUCCGUCUUAUUUGCGACUUGAAGUUUU